UAUAAGAAUCAUGAUGUUUCCAAGGCAGCACAUGGUUUGGGGAAACUGGAGAGAAUACUCCCAAUGGAAAGGGAUAACAUCAUGGCUGCCACAACAAUGCUAUCCAGUGUGCAAAUGCCGGAUGUUCAGAGGGACCAAGUCAUCUUGAUUAGAAUCGUGGAGGAGCUGAAGAAUUCACAUUUGGGCUGAUGGGCCUGGGGUAGGGAAGACCAACAGACCACAUGCUUCUUGUCUCUUCUACUCCCUGAUCCUGUGAUAGGCAGGGCUAAGUGAUCGUCCGCUCCUCUCACCCUCCAGCCUCCAAGUGGGCCACUUUUCAAGCAUGGAAUUCUAGGAGGUGUAACACUGGACGAGCGGGCAACUGGCUCUUCAGGCUUGGAACCAACAGGGGGCAGCAGAGAGCAGAGAAGAAUUGGUAGGCUUGGGCUGACCCAGACCUAGGAAAACUUCCAAACUUCUUUCCUCAAAACCGAAUCCAUGUGGACUCACUCUGGAGACUAUUGUCCCCACAAGUGGUGUGGUCCGAGGGCACAGCAAGAAAGGAUGGAGGGAGACUUUAUUUGGGGUUCAGGUGGAGAAAAGCCUGUGCUGGAUGCCAGGCUGCUCUGAGAACAGGAAGGCAGAUAAUAAUGCUAACAGCAACAGUUACAAUUACCCAGCCCCUGUAGGGUGCCAGGCCCUCUGUCAAGGUGCUUUCAUUCUCUCAAAGACUGCUUGAGGUGGGGAAACUCCCAGUUUACAGAUGAGAAAACAGGAUCCCAGAGUGGUUAAAUAGCUUGUCCAUGAUCACAUGACUAAGGGAGGGGCAAACCACAUUUUAGACCUGUUCUGCCCUCUGUGUUAUGGUGCCCUUCCAGGAAGGAGGAAGAAAGGUGCACCUGGAGUUAGAACAUCCUUGGGGGUGUCCUGGACCCAAGGGAAGGCAAAUGGUCCUUCUGGUACCGACUACUGUCUCCUGAUGGCCACGAGUCUCCUGCUAGAUUUAGCUAGUUCACUGGCUCACAGGUCUAUGCACCAUCGUCGGCAGAGCCAGGGUAAGGUAGCUAGCCUCGAACAACACCAGAAAAAGGCAAAAAGAAAGAUAACAGAAACUUGUAUGGAACUUUCAAGUACUCACUACGGAAGUCAUUGAUUUAUCUGCCUACUGUGAGAGGUAAUUAUGUCACACUGGAAGGUCACAUUAGAACGCCCCUCACCUCCAUUAGCCUCAGCUCUACCCUGGGCUCAGAGAUCAAUCCUGGCCUUAUUUAGGGAAGCACAUCCAAGCAUAUUUGAAACUUUUGGGAUGGGCUUGGGGAUAUUGGCACCAGGGGCCUCUUGCUGUCAGUACCAUCCUGAUUCUAAGAACUCCACUAAUGCCACAUUCCUCAACCCAAGCCUGGAUCUAGGACUCAGGGUGCUGCCCCAUUAAAUGCUUUAUCUCUUGGGUCACUGCAGACCAGGGCCCUGCCUUCUUUAGCCAGUGCCUGUUUCCCUCAUCUGGCAGUAGGACAGCAGUCUACCAAAAGAGUCACAUGUUCACAUCCCAGCUUAGGUCCAAGUUGUGAGCCAACUGCUUAAUGUAAUCACUUUUUUGGUAUUGCUUUUUUUCUCUAAAAAAUAUGUAUGUUUUCUGAUCCUAAAUAUAAUAUUUUCUGAGCCAGGUGCAG
This is a non-coding RNA of Macaca mulatta (Rhesus monkey), 1649 nucleotides long. The record is from RefSeq and is a predicted model, not a curated record. NCBI's taxonomy places the organism in Eukaryota, Metazoa, Chordata, Mammalia, Primates, Cercopithecidae.